Molecule: long non-coding RNA, 272 nt
Filed under: Elaeis guineensis (African oil palm)
Lineage: Eukaryota; Viridiplantae; Streptophyta; Magnoliopsida; Arecales; Arecaceae
Description: long non-coding RNA (EGUI_LNC042326)
Source: RNAcentral
ACUCACAGAGAUAAAACUCUACUAAAUUUUUCAUUGAGAAAAAUCAGAAUUCUCUCCACUUCUAUCCACCUUCAAACUCAUUUUUUGCUUUCUAUUUCUCCAUUUCUACCAUCUGUUCUCAAGGCUCAGGCUGACUUAAGUAUCAGAGGAUUUUAAACUAGAGGGUAUCCCAUGAUUUUAGGACUUCUUUUACAGAUUUUGUUCAUGGUCCACAUCGGCACAACUUUCAAAUCUCUAGCUUGGUUCAAUACUAACCUCACCUACAGAGUUUU